RNAcentral lists this ribosomal RNA (402 nucleotides) under uncultured bacterium. RNAcentral describes it as "partial 16S ribosomal RNA". It matches the Rfam family "Bacterial small subunit ribosomal RNA", at positions 30 to 526 of the family's 1533-position model. The record is from RNAcentral.
AUUGAACGCUGGCGGCAGGCCUAACACAUGCAAGUCGAACGAGUGGGGACGGGUGAGUAACACGUGGGUAACCUCCCAUCAGAGGGGAUAACACUUGGAAACAGGUGCUAAACCGAUUCUGAUGGAUGGACCCGCGGUGCAUCUGUUAGUUGGUGAGGUAAAGGCUCACCAAGGCCACGAUGCAUAGCCGACCUGAGAGGGUGAUCGGCAACACUGGGACUGAGACACGGCCCAGACUCCUACGGGAGGCAGCAGUAGGGAAUCUUCGGCAAUGGACGAAAGUCGGACCGAGCAACGCCGCGUGAGUGAAGAAGGUUUUCGGAUCGUAAAACUCUGUUGUUAGAGAAGCGGUAUCUAACCAGAAAGCCACGGCUAACUACGUGCCAGCAGCCGCGGUAAUUC